GGAGGGUGUCUAGCCGGUCGCCAUGGCAACUGAAGGCCACCGGGUAGACAUUCAUC
This 56-nucleotide microRNA precursor is filed under the name Mesocestoides corti. RNAcentral's name for it is "microRNA mco-mir-36a precursor". Its record names the gene mco-mir-36a. The record is from miRBase by way of RNAcentral. Lineage: Eukaryota; Metazoa; Platyhelminthes; Cestoda; Cyclophyllidea; Mesocestoididae.